CGGGAUAAGGAUUGGCUCUGAAGAUUGAGAUAGUCGGGCUUGAUUGGGAAACAAUAACAUGGUUUAUGUGCUCGUUCUGGGUAAAUAGAGUUUCUAGCAUUUAUGUUAGUUACUUGUUCCCCGGAUAGUUUAGUUACGUAGCCAAUUGUGGAACUUUCUUGCUAAAAUUUUUAAGAAUACUAUUUGGGUUAAACCAAUUAGUUCUUAUUAAUUAUAACGAUUAUCAAUUAACAAUCAAUUCAGAACUGGCACGGACUUGGGGAAUCCGACUGUCUAAUUAAAACAAAGCAUUGUGAUGGCCCUAGCGGGUGUUGACACAAUGUGAUUUCUGCCCAGUGCUCUGAAUGUCAAAGUGAAGAAAUUCAAGUAAGCGCGGGUCAACGGCGGGAGUAACUAUGACUCUCUUAAGGUAGCCAAAUGCCUCGUCAUCUAAUUAGUGACGCGCAUGAAUGGAUUAACGAGAUUCCUACUGUCCCUAUCUACUAUCUAGCGAAACCACAGCCAAGGGAACGGGCUUGGAAUAAUUAGCGGGGAAAGAAGACCCUUUUGAGCUUGACUCUAAUCUGGCAGUGUAAGGAGACAUAAGAGGUGUAGAAUAAGUGGGAGAUAUUAGACCUCGGUUUGGUAUCGUCAAUGAAAUACCACUACUCUUAUUGUUUCCUUACUUACUUGAUUAAAUGGAACGUGUAUCAUUUCCUAGCCAUUAUACGGAUAUAUUUAUUAUAUCUUAUGGUAUUGGGUUUUGAUGCAAGCUUCUUGAUCAAAGUAUCACGAGUUUGUUAUAUAAUCGCAAACAAAUUCUUUAAUAAAACGAUGCAUUUAUGUAUUUUUGAUUUGAAAAUUUGGUAUAACUCCAAUUACUCAGGUAUGAUCCAAUUCAAGGACAUUGCCAGGUAGGGAGUUUGACUGGGGCGGUACAUCUCUCAAAUAAUAACGGAGGUGUCCCAAGGCCAGCUCAGUGCGGACAGAAACCACACAUAGAGCAAAAGGGCAAAUGCUGACUUGAUCUCGGUGUUCAGUACACACAGGGACAGCAAAAGCUCGGCCUAUCGAUCCUUUUGGUUUAAAGAGUUUUUAACAAGAGGUGUCAGAAAAGUUACCAUAGGGAUAACUGGCUUGUGGCGGCCAAGCGUUCAUAGCGACGUCGCUUUUUGAUCCUUCGAUGUCGGCUCUUCCUAUCAUUGUGAAGCAAAAUUCACCAAGCGUUGGAUUGUUCACCCAUGCAAGGGAACGUGAGCUGGGUUUAGACCGUCGUGAGACAGGUUAGUUUUACCCUACUAAUGACAAAACGUUGUUGCGACAGCAUUCCUGCGUAGUACGAGAGGAACCGCAGGUACGGACCAAUGGCACAAUACUUGUUCGAGCGAACAGUGGUAUGACGCUACGUCCGUUGGAUUAUGCCUGAACGCCUCUAAGGUCGUAUCCGUGCUGGACUGCAAUGAUAAAUAAGGGGCAAUUUGCAUUGU
RNAcentral lists this ribosomal RNA (1466 nucleotides) under Drosophila melanogaster (fruit fly). Its description in RNAcentral is "eukaryotic LSU rRNA". It matches the Rfam family "Eukaryotic large subunit ribosomal RNA", at positions 1937 to 3185 of the family's 3401-position model. Lineage: Eukaryota; Metazoa; Arthropoda; Insecta; Diptera; Drosophilidae. The record is from RNAcentral.